RNAcentral lists this ribosomal RNA (154 nucleotides) under Lactiplantibacillus plantarum. RNAcentral's name for it is "Lactobacillus plantarum partial 16S ribosomal RNA". It matches the Rfam family "Bacterial small subunit ribosomal RNA", at positions 1 to 131 of the family's 1533-position model. The record is from RNAcentral. Lineage: Bacteria; Bacillati; Bacillota; Bacilli; Lactobacillales; Lactobacillaceae.
AUUAAUUUGAGAGUUUGAUCCUGGCUCAGGACGAACGCUGGCGGCGUGCCUAAUACAUGCAAGUCGAACGAACUCUGGUAUUGAUUGGUGCUUGCAUCAUGAUUUACAUUUGAGUGAGUGGCGAACUGGUGAGUAACACGUGGGAAACCUGCCC